UAAACGACUCUCGGCAACGGAUAUCUCGGCUCAUGCAUCGAUGAAGAACGUAGCAAAAUGCGAUACUUGGUGUGAAUUGCAGAAUCCCGUGAACCAUCGAGUUUUUGAACGCAAGUUGCGCCCGAAGCCUUCUGGUUGAGGGCACGUCUGCCUGGGCGUCACGU
This 164-nucleotide ribosomal RNA is filed under the name Dubautia microcephala. Its description in RNAcentral is "5.8S ribosomal RNA". It matches the Rfam family "5.8S ribosomal RNA". From Rfam's summary of the family: 5.8S ribosomal RNA (5.8S rRNA) is a component of the large subunit of the eukaryotic ribosome. It is transcribed by RNA polymerase I as part of the 45S precursor that also contains 18S and 28S rRNA. Functionally, it is thought that 5.8S rRNA may be involved in ribosome translocation. The record is from RNAcentral. Lineage: Eukaryota; Viridiplantae; Streptophyta; Magnoliopsida; Asterales; Asteraceae.